This 253-nucleotide ribosomal RNA is filed under the name uncultured bacterium. RNAcentral's name for it is "partial 16S ribosomal RNA". It matches the Rfam family "Bacterial small subunit ribosomal RNA", at positions 524 to 776 of the family's 1533-position model. The record is from RNAcentral.
UACGUAGGUGACAAGCGUUGUCCGGAUUUACUGGGCGUAAAGAGCGCGCAGGCGGUCGUUCAAGUCGAGUGUGAAAGCCCCCGGCUCAACUGGGGAGGGUCACUCGAUACUGAUCGACUCGAAGGCGGGAGAGGGAAGCGGAAUUCCCGGUGUAGUGGUGAAAUGCGUAGAUAUCGGGAGGAACACCAGUGGCGAAGGCGGCUUCCUGGCCCGUUCUUGACGCUGAGGCGCGAAAGCUAGGGGAGCAAACGGG